AACGAACGCUGGCGGCAGGCUUAACACAUGCAAGUCGAACGCCCCGCAAGGGGAGUGGCAGACGGGUGAGUAACACGUGGGAACAUGCCCAAAGGUACGGAAUAUUCUCGGGAAACUGGGAGCAAUACCGUAUGUGCCCGAAAGGGGAAAGAUUUAUCGCCUUUGGAUUGGCCCGCGUUGGAUUAGCUAGUUGGUGGGGUAAAAGUCUACCACGGCGACGAUCCAUAGCUGGUCUGAGAGGACGACCAGCCACACUGGGACUGAGACACGGCCCAUACUCCUACUGGAGUCAGCAGUGGGGAAUCUUAGAAAAUGGGGGAAACCCUGAUCUAGCCAUGCCGCGUGAUCGAUUAAGGCCUUAGGGUUGUAAAGAUCUUUCAGGUGGAAAGAUAAUGACUGUACCACCAGAAGAAGCCCCGGCUAACUCCGUGCCAGCCGCCGCCGUAA
This 447-nucleotide ribosomal RNA is filed under the name uncultured bacterium. Its description in RNAcentral is "partial 16S ribosomal RNA". It matches the Rfam family "Bacterial small subunit ribosomal RNA", at positions 29 to 523 of the family's 1533-position model. The record is from RNAcentral.